RNAcentral lists this transfer RNA (74 nucleotides) under Omnitrophica bacterium RIFCSPLOWO2_12_FULL_50_11. RNAcentral describes it as "tRNA-Val". It matches the Rfam family "tRNA". Rfam says of the family: Transfer RNA (tRNA) molecules are approximately 80 nucleotides in length. Their secondary structure includes four short double-helical elements and three loops (D, anti-codon, and T loops). Lineage: Bacteria; Pseudomonadati; Candidatus Omnitrophota. The record is from RNAcentral.
GGGCGCGUAGCUCAGCUGGUUAGAGCGCUUCCCUUACAAGGAAGAGGUCUCAGGUUCGAGCCCUGACGCGCCCA